Molecule: ribosomal RNA, 393 nt
Filed under: uncultured bacterium
Lineage: Bacteria
Description: partial 16S ribosomal RNA
Rfam family: Bacterial small subunit ribosomal RNA
Source: RNAcentral
AUACGGAAGAUGUAAGCGUUAUCCGGAUUUAUUGGGUUUAAAGGGUGCGUAGGUGGUUUGCUAAGCGGGAGGUGAAAUGCCGGCGCUCAACGUCGGAAGUGCCUCCCGAACUGGUGGACUUGAAUGACUCUGCCGUGGGAGGAAUGUGUAGUGUAGCGGUGAAAUGCUUAGAGAUUACACAGAACACCGAUUGCGAAGGCAUCUCACGAAGGGUUGAUUGACGCUGAGGCACGAAAGCGUGGGGAUCAAACAGGAUUAGAUACCCUGGUAGUCCACGCAGUAAACGAUGAUGGCUAACCGCUGGAUCCAUCGGUUCAGUGGCCAAGCGAAAGCGAUAAGCCAUCCACCUGGGGAGUACGACCGCAAGGUUGAAACUCAAAUGAAUUGACGGGG